This 85-nucleotide transfer RNA is filed under the name Candidatus Odinarchaeum yellowstonii. RNAcentral's name for it is "tRNA-Gly". It matches the Rfam family "tRNA". Rfam says of the family: Transfer RNA (tRNA) molecules are approximately 80 nucleotides in length. Their secondary structure includes four short double-helical elements and three loops (D, anti-codon, and T loops). Lineage: Archaea; Promethearchaeati; Candidatus Odinarchaeota; Candidatus Odinarchaeia; Candidatus Odinarchaeales; Candidatus Odinarchaeaceae. The record is from RNAcentral.
GCGGCUGUGGUCUAGUCUGGUCUAGGACCCAGGCCCCCCGAGCCUGAAGCGGGUUACGCGGAUUCAAAUCCCGCCAGCCGCACCA